Molecule: ribosomal RNA, 253 nt
Filed under: uncultured bacterium
Lineage: Bacteria
Description: partial 16S ribosomal RNA
Rfam family: Bacterial small subunit ribosomal RNA
Source: RNAcentral
UACGUAGGGUGCAAGCGUUGUCCGGAAUUAUUGGGCGUAAAGAGCUCGUAGGCGGUCUGUCGCGUCGAAUGUGAAAACCCGGGGCUCAACCCCGGGCCUGCAUUCGAUACGGGCAGACUAGAGUUCGGUAGGGGAGUCUGGAAUUCCUGGUGUAGCGGUGAAGUGCGCAGAUAUCAGGAGGAACACCGGUGGCGAAGGCGGGACUCUGGGCCGAUACUGACGCUGAGGCGCGAAAGCUAGGGGAGCAAACGGG